Molecule: ribosomal RNA, 427 nt
Filed under: uncultured prokaryote
Description: bacterial SSU rRNA
Rfam family: Bacterial small subunit ribosomal RNA
Source: RNAcentral
UGGGGAAUUUUGCGCAAUGGGCGAAAGCCUGACGCAGCCACGCCGCGUGGGUGAUGAAGGUCUUCGGAUCGUAAAACCCUGUCGUCAGGGACGAAGGUUGCAUAUCUAACAGGUGUGUAACUUGACGGUACCUGGAGAGGAAGCCCCGGCUAACUCUGUGCCAGCAGCCGCGGUAAUACAGAGGGGGCAAGCGUUAUUCGGAAUGAUUGGGCGUAAAGGGCGCGUAGGCGGUGCUUUAAGUGAGGUGUGUAAUCCCCGAGCUUAACUUGGGAACUGCAUCUCAGACUGAAGCGCGAGAGUACUGGAGAGGGUGGUAGAAUUCCACGUGUAGCGGUGAAAUGCGUAGAGAUGUGGAGGAAUACCGGUGGCGAAGGCGGCCGCCUGGACAGUAACUGACGCUGAGGCGCGAAAGUGUGGGUGGCAAACA